This 253-nucleotide ribosomal RNA is filed under the name uncultured Zoogloea sp. RNAcentral's name for it is "partial 16S ribosomal RNA". It matches the Rfam family "Bacterial small subunit ribosomal RNA", at positions 524 to 776 of the family's 1533-position model. The record is from RNAcentral. Lineage: Bacteria; Pseudomonadati; Pseudomonadota; Betaproteobacteria; Rhodocyclales; Zoogloeaceae.
UACGUAGGGUGCGAGCGUUAAUCGGAAUUACUGGGCGUAAAGCGUGCGCAGGUGGUUUCGUAAGUCAGAUGUGAAAUCCCCGGGCUCAACCUGGGAAUGGCAUUUGAGACUGCGAAGCUAGAGUACGGCAGAGGGAGGUGGAAUUCCACGUGUAGCAGUGAAAUGCGUAGAUAUGUGGAGGAACACCGAUGGCGAAGGCAGCCUCCUGGGCCAGUACUGACGCUCAUGCACGAAAGCGUGGGGAGCAAACAGG